RNAcentral lists this ribosomal RNA (253 nucleotides) under uncultured bacterium. RNAcentral describes it as "partial 16S ribosomal RNA". It matches the Rfam family "Bacterial small subunit ribosomal RNA", at positions 524 to 776 of the family's 1533-position model. The record is from RNAcentral.
UACGUAGGGACCAAGCGUUGUUCGGAUUUACUGGGCGUAAGGGGCGCGUAGGCGGCUUAACAAGUCACUUGUGAAAUCUCCGGGCUUAACUCGGAACGGCCAAGUGAAACUGUCAAGCUAGAGUGCAGAAGGGGCAAUCGGAAUUCUUGGUGUAGCGGUGAAAUGCGUAGAUAUCAAGAGGAACACCUGAGGUGAAGACGGGUUGCUGGGCUGACACUGACGCUGAGGCGCGAAAGCCAGGGGAGCAAACGGG